CGAUACAUUCAAAUUGACGAAGAUAGAAAACGUAUUUAAUGGUUUUAAACCAAUUAAAAAAAUUGAAAAAAAAACAAAAUGAUUCGAUAAAUUUCAUAUCUAGGAAACAAUUGACCGAUUUUGCAGCCCCAGAAAAUGUCCAGCAAAAAUUUUCGGCUUUUUGGCAAACAUAUACGAAAGAAGAAAGAAGAGUAAAAAACACAAUGACCAAAAUUAAUGAUAUCUAUUCGCAAUCACCAGGGGCGGCCGAGGUGCCUGUGCAAACUGUGCACAGCACAAGGCCUCGCGCUGUUUUCGCCCUUUCCGCGGUUGCGGAAAGGGCCUCGCAGCUUCAAGUUUUUAAGCCAUUUUUGCACAAGGCCUCGCGAUUUUCUCGGCCGGCCCUGUCAAUCACAACAACUUGAUGAAGACCAAUAUAAUGAAUUGGUAGCACAUGCCUCGACUAUUUAUUUAAAAAUGAUAACGAUGAUCGAAAGAAAAAUUUAGCUCAUCAAAAACGACAAAAAACAUCAAAAAAUGUUGAUGACUAAUAUAUCGAUCGGCGACGCAUGGCAAUUAUUAUUAUAAUAAUCUAUCAGAACAAGCCGUAUCAUAAAUAACAGUUACCGGAAAAUUGUUAAUAAAAAUUGCACAAUGAAUGGGUUGUAGGUCAAAACGCCGAAAACAAAAACCCCGAAAACCGAAACCAAAUGCCCGAAAACAAAAACCCCGAAAAAAAAUUAUCCCGAAAAAAAAUUAUCCCGAAAACAAAAACCCCGAAAACAAAAACGUAGAAAAUGGCUUGUUCCCUUAAACUUUAAAUGAACGAAGAUUAACACUAUUACUGUGAGAAAUUUCAUGUACCGGAUUCUACGAAAAGAAGUCAUUAGAUCUAGUAAACGGAUGAACGAAUGAAAAUAAAAUCUUCACUGAAUUAUCUAGCUAGAUCCAGGAAAACAUUUUUCUAACACGAUCCAUCCAGCCACAUGAAAUAUGAUCAAAAAAAGAAAUUUUUUUAAUCGAUUUUAUUACAUUUUUUUUGUUUUCAAAGAAUAGCCGCAAUUAGAUUAUUUUUUCAUACACAUUGAGAACAAUAAACAGUGGUUGAUCAUAAUCAA
Molecule: non-coding RNA, 1097 nt
Organism: Dermatophagoides farinae (American house dust mite)
Lineage: Eukaryota; Metazoa; Arthropoda; Arachnida; Sarcoptiformes; Pyroglyphidae
Source: RefSeq, a predicted model, not a curated record